Molecule: ribosomal RNA, 253 nt
Filed under: uncultured bacterium
Lineage: Bacteria
Description: partial 16S ribosomal RNA
Rfam family: Bacterial small subunit ribosomal RNA
Source: RNAcentral
UACGUAGGGUGCAAGCGUUAAUCGGAAUUACUGGGCGUAAAGCGUGCGCAGGCGGUGAUGUAAGACAGAUGUGAAAUCCCCGGGCUCAACCUGGGAACUGCAUUUGUGACUGCAUCGCUGGAGUGCGGCAGAGGGGGAUGGAAUUCCGCGUGUAGCAGUGAAAUGCGUAGAUAUCAGGAGGAAUACCGAUGGCGAAGGCAGGUCUCUGGGCUAUAACUGACGCUCAUGCACGAAAGCGUGGGGAGCAAACAGG